RNAcentral lists this ribosomal RNA (402 nucleotides) under Verrucomicrobiota bacterium. RNAcentral's name for it is "Verrucomicrobia bacterium partial 16S ribosomal RNA". It matches the Rfam family "Bacterial small subunit ribosomal RNA", at positions 355 to 776 of the family's 1533-position model. The record is from RNAcentral. Lineage: Bacteria; Pseudomonadati; Verrucomicrobiota.
UGGGGAAUUUUGCACAAUGGGGGAAACCCUGAUGCAGCGACGCCGCGUGAUUUAGAAGGCCUUCGGGUUGUAAAAAUCUUUUGUAUGGGAAGAAAAUGACAGUACCAUACGAAUAAGGACCGGCUAAUUACGUGCCAGCAGCCGCGGUAAUACGUAAGGUCCGAGCGUUGUCCGGAAUCAUUGGGCGUAAAGGGUACGUAGGCGGAUAAGCAAGUUAGAAGUGAAAUCCUAUAGCUCAACUAUAGUAAGCUUUUAAAACUGCUCAUCUUGAGGUAUGGAAGGGAAAGUGGAAUUCCUAGUGUAGCGGUGAAAUGCGCAGAUAUUAGGAGGAAUACCGGUUGCGAAGGCGACUUUCUGGCCAUAUACUGACGCUGAGGUACGAAAGCGGGGGUAGCAAACAGG